Molecule: ribosomal RNA, 2118 nt
Filed under: Triticum aestivum (bread wheat)
Lineage: Eukaryota; Viridiplantae; Streptophyta; Magnoliopsida; Poales; Poaceae
Description: partial small subunit ribosomal RNA
Source: RNAcentral
AUGGCGGAGGGGGGCGAGCGGGGGCGCUCGUGGUACCUCAGCAAGGAGGAGAUCGAGGAAGGCUCGCCGUCCAGGAAGGACGGCAUGCCCGCCGCCAGGGAGGCCCAGCUCCGGUCCGUCUACUCCAGCUACAUCCGCGACGUCGGACGCAGGCUCGGGGUGCCCGACAUCACAAUCGCGACGGGCACCGUGCUGUGCCACCGCUUCUAUCUCCACCAGUCCCUGCUCAAGAACGAGUGGCAGACUGUUGCAACUGCUUGCAUCUUUCUUGCUUCGAAGAUUGAAGACACUCCUUGCCAAUUAGGACGUGUCGUUACUGUGGCACAUGAAACAAUGUAUAAGAGAAAACCUGAUGCUGCUCGCAGAAUCAAACAGAAGGAGGUCCUUGAGAAGCGGAAGGACCUAAUUUUGAUGGGGGAGGCACUAUUGCUUUCAACCAUCAGGUUUGAUUUCAAUAUACAGCAUCCUUAUGAGCCACUAAAUCUCGCUCUCAAGAAUCUGGGGAUCUCCCAGAAGGAAGUGAAACAAGCUGCAAUAAAUCUCAUAAAUGAUACGCUUCGGACUACAUUGGUAGUGCAAUUUAAACCACACUACAUAGCUGCUGGAGCUCUCCAUCUUGCCGCCAAGUUUCAUGAUGUUACACUCCCUUCUGAACAAGGAAAAGUAUGGUGGCAUCAAUUCGAUGUUGCUCCAAGGCAGUUGCAAGCUGCUAUCCAGCAAAUGAAACAGGUCUUUAAUGAAAGAAACCAACGCCCUGCGGGUCCUGCUAUCGGGCCCAUUCCAGCUCCAGCUCCGGUGGAGAAACAGCAGGCAGUAAGAUUCCCGAAGCCAGCUCUGGUGGCAAAACAGCAGACACUAAGCUUGCCAAAGCCAGCUCCGGUGGCAAAACAGCAGGCACUAAGCUUACUGAAGCCAGCUCCAGUGGAGGAACAGCAGGCUGUAAGCUUCCCGAAGCCAGCUCCAGUGGCAAAACAGCAGACAGUAAGCUCCCAGAAGCCUGCUCCGGUGGAGGAACAUCAGACAGUAAGCUCCCCAAAGCCUGCUCCAUUGGAGCCUGCUUUGGUGAAGAAAGAGCAGACAGCAAGCUCCCUGAAGCCUGCAGCGGAGAAACAGCAGACAGCAAGCUCCCCGAAGCCUGCUCCGGCGGAGAAACAGCAGACAGUAAGCUCCCCGAAGCCUGCUCCGGUGGAGAAACAGCAGAUUAUAAGCUUCCCAAAGCCUGUUCUGAAGUAUACAUAUUCAAGGAGAGGCCUAAGAAACACUGCAGCUCCAACUGUAACUCCAACUCCAACUCUGGUGAAGAAACAGCAGAAAAUAAGCACCCCAGAUGGCCCUGUUUCGCAUGCCUUCUCUCCAAGGGGAGUCCUAAAUGGACCCACUUCAGCUCCAACUAUAACUCCAAACCCAAUGAAAAAACAGCAGGCAUUAAGCACCCUAGACUCUGUUCUGAGGCAAGCACACCCUUCAGUUGGAGGAGUGAAGCGCACUAGAUCUCCAGCUCAAGAUAAAGCCCUGGUGAAGAAACAGAAGAUAAUAAGCGCCCCAAACUCUGUUGUGAGGCAUGCACGCCCUUCAGUUGUAGUAGUGAGGCCCACUGGAUCUCCAGCUCGAGCUAGAACCCCGGUGAAGAAAUCGCAGAUAAUAAGUGCCCAAGACUCUGUUCCGAGGCAUACUCGCCCUUCAGUCGGCGGCGAAAGAAGGCCCAGUACAGCUCCAGCUCCAGCUCCUGCUAGUGCUCUGGCAAGGAAACAGCCAACAAUAAGCACCCCAGACUCUGUUAUGAGGCAUACAGAUCCUUCAAGGAAUGAAGAUAGCAAGCCACUGCGAAUGCAUGUGGAUCAUAGCUUGAGUAGAACUGCCAAAGAUGGUAGGCUGGAGAAGCCAUCUUUCCAGGCAGCUCUAAACGCCGAUCAUGGCCACCAUGUCGGCAGCAGACCUAAAGAUGUAAAUAUGACAAGGGUCCCAAACUUGGUCGGACAGAAGAGAAGGAUCCAGGAGACUGCUGGACAGCCUCCUGCUCCGGCUGAUAGAUGUGCUGGAGAUGCUUCGAGGAGGCCGCAGCUUCCAAGUUUGAUCGUCGCCCCGCCGUCCUGGAAGAAACAGAAGAUCGAUGUUUAA